RNAcentral lists this ribosomal RNA (512 nucleotides) under uncultured bacterium. RNAcentral describes it as "partial 16S ribosomal RNA". It matches the Rfam family "Bacterial small subunit ribosomal RNA", at positions 28 to 507 of the family's 1533-position model. The record is from RNAcentral.
GAUGAACGCUGGCGGCGUGCCUAAUACAUGCAAGUCGAACGAAACUUCUUUAUCACCGAGUGCUUGCUCUUACCGAUAAAGGGUUGAGUGACGAACGGGUGAGUAACACGUGGGCAACCUGCCCCAACGAGGGGGAUAACAUAUGGAAACAGGAGCUAAUACCGCAUAACCAUCAUUACCGAAUGGUAACUAUGUAAAAGGUGGCUAUUCUACCGCUUUUGGAUUGGCCCGCGGCGCAUUAGCUAGUUGGUAGGGUAAAGGAUUACCAAGGCAAUGAUGCGUAGCCGAAUUGAGAGGUUGAUCGGCCACAUUGGGACUGAGACACGGCCCAAACUCCUACGGGAGGCCGCAGUAGGGAAUCUUCCACAAUGGGCGAAAGCCUGAUGGAGCAACGCCGCGUGGGUGAAGAAGGUCUUCGGAUCGUAAAACCCUGUUGUUAGAGAAGAAAGUGCGUGAGAGUAACUGUUCACGUUUCGACGGUAUCUAAACAGAAAGCCACGGCUAACUACGUG